CUGAGAAACGGCUACCACAUCCAAGGAAGGCAGCAGGCGCGCAAAUUACCCACUCCCGGCACGGGGAGGUAGUGACGAAAAAUAACGAUACGGGACUCAUCCGAGGCCCCGUAAUCGGAAUGAGAACACUUUAAAAACUUUAACGAGUACCUAAUGGAGGGCAAGUCUGGUGCCAGCAGCCGCGGUAAUUCCAGCUCCAUUGGCGUAUAUUAAAGUUGUUGCGGUUAAAAAGCUCGUAGUUGGAUCUGUGUCUCGGACGGUCGGUUCGCCGCUCGCGGCGUUUAACUGACCGGUCCGGACGUCCUGCCGGUGGGCGGUUUCUCUCUCUCUCGGGGGAGGGGGCCGCCCGUUAACCUUCCUCCGGGCUGCUCUUAACCGAGUGGCGCGGUGGGCCGGCACGUUUACUUUG
RNAcentral lists this ribosomal RNA (409 nucleotides) under Dentatella coxalis. Its description in RNAcentral is "bacterial SSU rRNA". It matches the Rfam family "Eukaryotic small subunit ribosomal RNA", at positions 396 to 759 of the family's 1831-position model. The record is from RNAcentral. Lineage: Eukaryota; Metazoa; Arthropoda; Insecta; Ephemeroptera; Ephemerellidae.